GAAAUGCGAUAAGUAGUGUGAAUUGCAGAAUUCAGUGAAUCAUCGAAUCUUUGAACGCACAUUGCGCCCUAUGGUAUUCCGUAGGGCAUGCCUGUUCGAGCGUCAUUUACACCUUCAAGCCUUGCUUGGUGUUGGGUGACUGUGGCCCCUUUGGGGCCACUCGCCUUAAAGUCAUUGGCGGCCGGUUCGUUGGCUUUGUAGCGCAGCACAAUUGCGUCCUCGAAGCCACUGGACCAGCUCCCAGAAGCUAAUUUUAAAUGUUUGACCUCGAAUCAGGUAGGGAUACCCGCUGAACUUAAGA
This 301-nucleotide unclassified non-coding RNA is filed under the name plant metagenome. RNAcentral's name for it is "partial contains 5.8S ribosomal RNA, internal transcribed spacer 2, and large subunit ribosomal RNA". The stretch from base 1 to 105 matches the Rfam family "5.8S ribosomal RNA", at positions 50 to 154 of the family's 154-position model. The record is from RNAcentral.